GACGAACGCUGGCGGCGUGCUUAACACAUGCAAGUCGAACGGAAAGGCCCUGCUUUUGUGGGGUGCUCGAGUGGCGAACGGGUGAGUAACACGUGAGUAACCUGCCCUUGACUUUGGGAUAACUUCAGGAAACUGGGGCUAAUACCGGAUAGGAGCUCCUGCUGCAUGGUGGGGGUUGGAAAGUUUCGGCGGUUGGGGAUGGACUCGCGGCUUAUCAGCUUGUUGGUGGGGUAGUGGCUUACCAAGGCUUUGACGGGUAGCCGGCCUGAGAGGGUGACCGGCCACAUUGGGACUGAGAUACGGCCAAGACUCCUACGGGAGGCAGCAGUGGGGAAUAUUGCACAAUGGGCGGAAGCCUGAUGCAGCAAGGCCGCGUGCGGGAUGACGGCCUUCGGGUUGUAACCCGCUUUCGCCUGUGACGAAGCGUGAGUGACGGUAAUGGGUAAAGAAGCACCGGCUAACUACGUG
This 468-nucleotide ribosomal RNA is filed under the name uncultured bacterium. Its description in RNAcentral is "partial 16S ribosomal RNA". It matches the Rfam family "Bacterial small subunit ribosomal RNA", at positions 28 to 507 of the family's 1533-position model. The record is from RNAcentral.